Phalacrocorax carbo (great cormorant) is the source of this 1173-nucleotide non-coding RNA. NCBI's taxonomy places the organism in Eukaryota, Metazoa, Chordata, Aves, Suliformes, Phalacrocoracidae. The record is from RefSeq and is a predicted model, not a curated record.
GGGGCCCUUAGCAGUAGCGCGGGGAAGGGGCGGUGUGUCCAGAAGCCCCUGCGCAAGGAGGGGCUUUGGCCAGGGUCGAUCGACGGUAAUGACGGUCGCUGUUUCUUCUUUCCCUCUCCCAGAGACCGUGCUGAGGACGUGGUUGUCUGUCCUUCCCCCGGGGAUGCCGUUGACUGCAGCCGUCUCAGGCUUGCGUGGCUUCUCUCUGCCCGGCGUUGCCAUCCUCGCAGCGCGGGGGCGAAAAGGGACACACAGAGCCCUUCCCGGCUGUGGACAGGAGCUGCCUCGGCUGAAGCUGGAGACGCCAACGAAAGGUAAAGCAGAAGAAACUGAAGGCGCUCUGGCUGCCAGCUGCCUUCCUGCCGCAGGCAAGAGAGAGCCUGUCCCUGCAGGUGAGGGAGGAAGGAUCCCCCUUCAUAGUCCGCAGCGGGCCAGGCCACCAACGUGCACCGCAGGGUCUGUACGCGUAACCGGGAGUUGGGUACGGGCGUGUAGUGCACGAGCGAGCUAGGCUAUGUGCCUAGGAAGCCUCAUCUCGUAAGAGCGGUAAGACACCCGUGUAUCCUCUUUAGGUGGAGAACGGCCUAGAGUCUGGAGCUGCAGAAGAGGCAGGGCGGAGAGGAGGGGAAAGAAGCAUCUGAACGGCUAAAUUGUGCCAGCAGCGCUGAGAGCGAGAGUCGCGCGGUGCCGUAAGGAAGGGAUGAGACGUUUUCCAGCACCAGCCAGAGCGUUCAGUGUUACGCGAAGAAUCUGUUCAAAAUGGUAUCGAUGUCUUCUCAGUGUCUCGUGAUGCUCAAGAGAUGCCCCCCGGCCCGGGUUUGCCUGCCGGUCGUUAAGCGUGGUGAAGGUAAGGGGCCAUCCCUCUGCCUGGGGGCUCCCGGCUCUGUCUCCAGCGGGUGCCCCGCAGGUGCGGCCGCGAGGGCUGCCUGGUGGGGAGAGUCGGGGCCCCCAGGGGCCGGGGCUGUUUGUCGCCCCGGGGAGCCCGUCCCAGCGCGGGAACAUGUCCGAGCAGAGCCCGAGAGAGACGUGACACCGUCCUCUGGCACGCUCCCGCUCCGCCGUGGGGCGGCCGCUAGCCUGCGGACAGGGGCUGGGGGGGCUGCAGCUGUUUGGGGGGCUGCCCCACCUUUUAGAUUUUAGCAGAGCUCCCCCUUUUCUGGGGGGUGGGGUGUG